Long non-coding RNA from Daktulosphaira vitifoliae (grape phylloxera), 787 nucleotides. RefSeq lists it as uncharacterized. The record is from RefSeq and is a predicted model, not a curated record. Lineage: Eukaryota; Metazoa; Arthropoda; Insecta; Hemiptera; Phylloxeridae. The transcript has 3 exons.
GGAACGGAAAACGACGCGAAAUAGGGGAGCGCGCCUCCCACUCGGCCGAUCGCGUUCCCGCCUUUUCGUCGUUAUCACCGCGUCCGACGCCCCAAACGUGUUCGUUAUCACCGAGCCGCCGUUUUGUGCGUCGUUUAUUCUGUCGUUAUUUCAAUAUAGUGUAUUUACUGUAUUCGUUUAUUAAUGUGAUUUUGUAAAUUUUCUACUUCUACUACUAUUGCGAUUAUAUAUAUAUAUAUUAAUCGAAACUCGCCGUUGGUAAUUUUACACUGCGAUUAACGCAGUUUAUCAAUUGUCGAUAUUGUGUGACGGUCUUUGAUUUGAUUCGAUUUUGUAAUUUUUAGAUGGCGUUUGUCGUGUGCCCCGAAGGACUGCUUCGAUAACGAGAGCUCUGGCUCUAACGAUCUCACAAACGGAGGAUUUAUUAACACGGUUUUUAGACGGCGUUUGUUGCGUCCCGAGGUGGUAUGCUUCCAUAACGGCUCGGCCUGUUGGCCAAAAGUGCUGGUUCUAAUGGAUAACGGAUUUAUUACGCGGACUCGCGUCUGUUGUGCCCGGAUGAAUACGUUGGAGACUUCUGGCCGUUAUCGCUAUUGGAUUGAUUUAUUUAUAACGAUGGUAAUUCAUUAAAAAAAAUUAAUUGUCAUUGACUUUUCUCAAAGUAGAGUUCAUCCUUUACAUUUAAAUUAAUUUCGAUUAGCGUAUGUUAAUCAUUAGGUCGAUUUGUAUUUUGUUUAUAGUUGCUAUAUUCAUGUACUACAUCGGUCAAUACAUUCUCUCUCUCUCU